RNAcentral lists this ribosomal RNA (1035 nucleotides) under Triticum aestivum (bread wheat). Its description in RNAcentral is "partial small subunit ribosomal RNA". Lineage: Eukaryota; Viridiplantae; Streptophyta; Magnoliopsida; Poales; Poaceae. The record is from RNAcentral.
AUGGCUUUGUCCCCCGCGAGCGUCGGGCCGGUGAUUCCGGAGGUGGAGAUGAACGCCGGCGCCGAUCAGGGCUCCACCACCGUGCGGGCCACUGUCGUGCAGGCCUGCAGCGUUUUCUACGACACUCCUGCAACGCUCGAUAAAGCAGAGAAAUUGAUAGCGGAGGCUGCUGGAUAUGGUUCACAGUUGGUUCUUUUUCCAGAAGUCUUUGUUGGUGGCUACCCUCAUGGGUCUACCUUUGGACUGACUAUUGGCAGUCGAUCUGCCAAGGGAAAAGAAGACUUCCGGAAGUAUCACGCGGCUGCCAUAGAUGUGCCUGGCCCAGAGGUUAGCCGCUUAGCUGCAUUGGCCGGAAAAUACAAGGUCUUUUUGGUGAUUGGGGUUGUUGAAAGGGCAGGCUACACACUGUACAAUACAGUGCUCUCCUUUGAUUCUCUGGGAAAGUACCUAGGAAAACACCGCAAGCUCAUGCCUACCUCACUGGAACGAGUAUUCUGGGGGUUUGGAGAUGGAUCUACGAUACCUGUUUAUGAUACUCCACUUGGAAAGAUAGGUGCCGUCAUCUGCUGGGAGAACAGAAUGCCACUUAUCAGGACAGCGAUGUAUGCCAAAGGUGUUCAAAUAUACUGUGCUCCCACUGCGGAUGCGCUGCCAAGUUGGCAGGCUUCCAUGACACACAUUGCGCUUGAAGGGGGAUGCUUUGUUCUGACAGCAAACCAGUUCUGCCGCAGAAAAGACUUUCCUCCCUCGCCUGAGUAUACCUUUGGUGGCCAUGAGGAGGAGCCAUCCCCAGAAACCGCUGUUUGUCCUGGAGGGAGCGCCAUCAUCUCGCCAUCUGGGACAGUGUUGGCAGGUCCCAACUAUGAAGGCGAGGCCCUCCUCACAGCUGACCUGGGUAAGAAGAAACCGAUGACUCCCAAGUCUAUGCUAAACACAUACUAUCAUUUUGGGUACUUAUACGCAACCUUGGAGAAAUUGUUCGAGCCAAGUUUGAUUUCGACGUCGUGGGACACUACGCGCGCCCUGAGGUGCUGA